GGACCUGACUGCUAUCGGAUUGAUACUAAGCCAUGCGAGUCAUUGUAGCAAUACAAAGCAUACGGCUCAGUAACGCGUAGUCAACCUACCCUAUGGACGAGAAUAAUCUCGGGAAACUGAGGAUAAUACUCGAUAGAUCAUAAUGCCUGGAAUGGUUUAUGGUUGAAAUGAUUCGUCGCCAUAGGAUGGGACUGCGACCUAUCAGCUUGUUGGUGAGGUAAUGGCCCACCAAGGCGAUUACAGGUACGGGCUCUGAGAGGAGAAGCCCGGAGAUGGGUACUGAGACAAGGACCCAGGCCCUAUGGGGCGCAGCAGGCGAGAAAACUUUGCAAUGUGCGAAAGCACGACGAAGGUUAAUCCGAGUGAUUUCUGCUAAAGAAAUCUUUUGCGAAGUCGUAAAAUCACUAGUGAAUAAGGGGUGGGCGAGUUCUGGUGU
RNAcentral lists this ribosomal RNA (436 nucleotides) under uncultured archaeon. Its description in RNAcentral is "bacterial SSU rRNA". It matches the Rfam family "Archaeal small subunit ribosomal RNA", at positions 19 to 458 of the family's 1478-position model. The record is from RNAcentral.